CCCUUAGAUGUUCUGGGCCGCACGCGCGCUACACUGACGAAUGCAACGAGCUUAUAACCUUGGCCGAAAGGUCUGGGUAAUCUCCAAAUUUCGUCGUGAUGGGGAUAGAUUAUUGCAAUUAUUAAUCUUCAACGAGGAAUGCCUAGUAAGCGCAAGUCAUCAGCUUGCGUUGAUUACGUCCCUGCCCUUUGUACACACCGCCCGUCGCUCCUACCGAUUGAAUGGUCCGGUGUAGCGUUCGGACCGUGGCCUUUGGACGGUUCGCCGUCUGUUGGCUGCGGGAAGUUCGUUAAACCUUAUCAUUUAGAGGAAGGAGAAGUCGUAACA
This 327-nucleotide ribosomal RNA is filed under the name uncultured eukaryote. Its description in RNAcentral is "partial 18S ribosomal RNA". It matches the Rfam family "Eukaryotic small subunit ribosomal RNA", at positions 1470 to 1796 of the family's 1831-position model. The record is from RNAcentral.